AGAAGUUUAGGUUUACUAAACCAAAGGCCUUCAAAGCCUUAAACAAAAGUGAAAUUCUUUUAACUUCUG
RNAcentral lists this transfer RNA (69 nucleotides) under Narke japonica (Japanese sleeper ray). RNAcentral describes it as "tRNA-Trp". It matches the Rfam family "tRNA". From Rfam's summary of the family: Transfer RNA (tRNA) molecules are approximately 80 nucleotides in length. Their secondary structure includes four short double-helical elements and three loops (D, anti-codon, and T loops). Further hydrogen bonds mediate the characteristic L-shaped molecular structure. tRNAs have two regions of fundamental functional importance: the anti-codon, which is responsible for specific mRNA codon recognition, and the 3' end, to which the tRNAs corresponding amino acid is attached (by aminoacyl-tRNA synthetases). tRNAs cope with the degeneracy of the genetic code in two manners: having more than one tRNA (with a specific anti-codon) for a particular amino acid; and 'wobble' base-pairing, i.e. permitting non-standard base-pairing at the 3rd anti-codon position. The record is from RNAcentral. Lineage: Eukaryota; Metazoa; Chordata; Chondrichthyes; Torpediniformes; Narkidae.